Molecule: ribosomal RNA, 269 nt
Filed under: uncultured prokaryote
Description: partial 16S ribosomal RNA
Rfam family: Archaeal small subunit ribosomal RNA
Source: RNAcentral
CACCAGCGCCACAAGUGGUGACCAGCAUUAUUGGGCCUAAAGCGUCCGUAGCAGGAAAAAUAAAUCUUCUGUGAAACUGUUAAGCUUAACUUAACAACGUGCAGGAGACACUGUUAUUCUAGAGACCGGGAGGGGUCAGAGGUAGUUUUGGGGAGCGGUAAAAUGCUAUAAUCCCAAGAGGACCACCGAUGGCGAAGGCAUCUGACCAGAACGGAUCUGACUGUGAGGGACGAAGGCCAGGGGAGCAAACCGGAUUAGAUACCCGUGUA